UGAGGAAUAUUGGACAAUGGGCGAAAGCCUGACCCAGCAACGCCGCGUGAAGGAUGAAGUAUUUCGGUAUGUAAACUUCGAAAGAAUAGGAAGAAUAAAUGACGGUACUAUUUAUAAGGUCCGGCUAACUACGUGCCAGCAGCCGCGGUAAUACGUAGGGACCAAGCGUUGUUCGGAUUUACUGGGCGUAAAGGGCGCGUAGGCGGCAAUUCAAGUCAUCUGUGAAAUCUCCGGGCUUAACUCGGAACGGUCAGAUGAUACUGCUUUGCUAGAGUGCAGAAGGGGCAAUCGGAAUUCUUGGUGUAGCGGUGAAAUGCGUAGAUAUCAAGAGGAACACCUGAGGUGAAGACGGGUUGCUGGGCUGACACUGACGCUGAGGCGCGAAAGCCAGGGGAGCAAACGGGAUUAGAUACCCCGGUAGUCCCUGAGCGGGCUGGCAAGGCGCAU
This 447-nucleotide ribosomal RNA is filed under the name uncultured bacterium. RNAcentral describes it as "bacterial SSU rRNA". It matches the Rfam family "Bacterial small subunit ribosomal RNA", at positions 355 to 825 of the family's 1533-position model. The record is from RNAcentral.